Molecule: long non-coding RNA, 5193 nt
Filed under: Brassica rapa (field mustard)
Lineage: Eukaryota; Viridiplantae; Streptophyta; Magnoliopsida; Brassicales; Brassicaceae
Description: long non-coding RNA (BRAP_LNC000877)
Source: RNAcentral
GUAGAUAAGUCUACCUCUUUUUGUCUUUUCAUUUCUUUAAAUAGGAAAGUACAGGAAGCAAAUAACAGAAACAAGAGAUGGAGUCAUUGACUCCUAUAAUGCAGGAAACAUGGGAAAGGUGGAGAACGUUACGUAAGAAGCGUUCCCCUUAUUUAACAACUGAAACAAACUAAAUAAAAGAUAUAUCUUUUUAAAGAUAUUUGCUGUUUGGCUUACGUGGUCGUGUUGAUCUCUUUGGCGCCACUUCAACGUCAACUAGCGAGUCUUCUUGUAUCCUAUCAACACUCCCAUCCUCAAAAAGAACCUUGUCCUCAAGGUUCAUGUGAAAUGUCGGGAAACUGGUAGUAAUCUGUUGCUUGUCCUCCCAAGUAGCUUCCGUAGCAGGCAAGUCAACCCAUUGAAUUAGUAACUCUGUCAGCUCCUUUCCAUUUUUUUGACUUGUGCGUUGUUGCAGGACCUUUGCGGGAGUGAGGCGUAAGAGACCAGAUUCCUUCAAUGGUGGUAAUGGAACUGAAACGGGUUCGUCACUACCAACACGUUUCUUCAGUAAGGAGACAUGGAAGACGUUGUGGAUUCGAGCGGUGGAAGGAAGAGCGAGUCGGUAAGCAACUUGGCCAAUUCGAGCUUCAACUCUAAACGGUCCAAAGUAGCGGUGGGAGAGCUUUUGCGAGGAACGGCGGAGAACAGUUUUCUGACGGUACGGUUGGAGUCGCAAGAAAACCCAAUCUCCUAUCUCGAACUCGAUGUCUCUGCGGCGUGCAUCGGCGAGUUGUUUCAUUCUGUUGUUCGAGGCUUCGAGGUGAUGUUUGAGCUCAUCGAGAAGCUCGUCCCUAUGCUGUAAUUGUUCAUCAAUCUCACCAACAAGAGUUGAGCCAAGUUCAUACCGUGGUAUAGCAGGGGGAGGGCGACCGUAGAGAGCCUGAAAAGGGGUUGUACCGGUGCUGGAGUGGAAGGUGGUGUUGUACCAAUAUUCAGCCCAUGGAAUGAAUGAGCUCCAGUGCGUUGGCCGUUGCUGGACAAAGCAGCGAAGAUACUGCUCAAUGCAACGAUUCACCACCUCUGUCUGGCCGUCGGUCUGAGGGUGGUAGGCGGUAGACAUCUGAAGUGUAGUACCUGAGAGUCGCCAUAAUUCUUUCCAGAAGUGGCUGAGGAAGAUCGGGUCUCGAUCGCUGAGUAUUGUCCGAGGCAGUCCGUGUAGUUUGACAAUGUUGGCGAUGAACUGUGUAGCAACGAUAGAAGCAGUGUAGGGGUGAGAUAGUGGAAUGAGGUGGGCUGACUUACUGAGUCUGUCGACGACCACCAUGAUUGAUGUGAAAGAACCAGAACGGGGCAAACCGUCGACGAAGUCCAUGGAGAUGUCUUCCCAAAGCUGUUCGGGAACAGGAAGUGGCUGAAGGAGGCCGGCUGGUGACAUCGUUUGUGACUUGGCGCGCUGGCAAGUAUCACAGUGAGAGAUGUAGUCGACUACUGUCUUGUGCAUCGAGGGCCAAUAGAAGUGGUGAGAGAGUCUUUUGAAUGUACGCAAGACACCGGGAUGACCACCCAAUGCUGUAUCGUGAUGCUCAAAUAAGAGUUGCCUGAUAAGAGAGGAACCUGGCGGAAUAACAACUCUAUUGUUGUAACAGAGUAGUCCAUCUUUCCAAGAGUACGGUUGUCCCGGUUUCUCUGUUGCUGCGGUGCCAAUGCGGAGGAGGUAAGGGUCGGAGGAUGUCAUUGCCCGGAGAUCGGUCCAGAUAGAUGUUUGUGGGACUGAUAUUGCUGCCAAGACAGGGCUAUCUUGUACGCGAGAUAAAGCAUCCGCUGCAGAGUUAGUUUUUCCUGGCUUGUAAACAAUGUCAUAAUCAUACCCGACGAGUUUAGACAUCCACUUCUGCUGCUCCGGUGUAAGGAUGCGCUGCUCCAGCAUAUAGCGUAGGCUUCUCUGGUCUGUCUGGAUAGUGAAUUUACGCCCCAAUAGAUAAGGCCUCCAAGUGCGAAUAGCGAUGAUAAUUGCCAACAUCUCCCGUGCAUACGUUGACCAUGCUUUCUUUGUAACACCCAAAGACCGACUCAUAAAAGCAAUUGGCUGCCCGUUCUGAGAAAGAACUGCACCAAUCCCAUCGCCUGAUGCGUCAGUCUCGAUCACAAAAUGUUUGGUGAAGUCAGGAAGAGCCAACGUUGGGGUAGACGAUAAUGCCUCUUUCAAUUUGUUGAAGGCGACGUCAGCUUCAGAGCUCCAUGUGAAUUUGCCUUUGCGAAGGAGGUUGGUAAGUGGUCUUGCGAUCAGCCCAUAGUCACGUACAAACUUGCGGUAGUAACCGGUUAGGCCAAGAAAGCCGCGUAGAUCAGUGACGGAUGUGGGAACUGGCCAAUCUGUCAUCGCUUGUACCUUAGACUGGUCCACUGUGACGCCGGUGUUGGAGAUAAUGUGGCCUAGAUACUCGAGCUCUCGCUUCCCAAAUUCACAUUUCUUAAAUUUAACAGAAAGUUUGUGAUGUUGGAUUAAGCUCAGUACCUCGCGAACGUGCCGCAGGUGUGCUUCCCACGUUGGGCUGUAAACAAGUAUGUCGUCGAAGAAGACGAGCACGAACUUGCGCAUGUAUGGCCUGAAUAUGUCGUUCAUGAGUGCUUGGAAGGUCGAUGGUGCGUUGCAGAGGCCAAAAGGCAUAACGAGAUAUUCGAAAUGACCGUGAUGAGUUCGAAACGCCGUUUUGUGGAUGUCGGAAGAGCUCAUGCGGACCUGGUGGAAGCCGGCGGUAAGAUCCAGUUUAGUGAAGUAGGCAGAACCGUGUAGUUCGUCGAGCAUAUCCUCUACCGUAGGAAUUGGAAAACGAUCUUUGAUGGUAGCAGAAUUUAGCGCUCUGUAAUCGGUACAGAACCUCCAUGAUCCGUCUUUCUUCUUUACUAGGAGUACAGGGGAGGAGAAGGGACUGGAACUGGUUCGGAUUAUGCCUGCUUUAAGCAUCUCAGUGACCUGUCGCUCGAUCUCGUCUUUCUGGAAAUAUGCGUAGCGAUAGGGUCGGACGUUGAUGGGAUCGGUGCCUUCCUUGAGGGUAAUGCUGUGCUCGAUGUCGCGGAGGGGAGGGAGGCCCUCUGGAGUCUGAAAAAUUCCAUCGAAUUCAUCCAAGAGCAAACGUAUAUCGUCGUUGAGUUCCUUCGGUGUGGAAGAGUUCUCCGAUGAACAUAGCGCAAAGAGAAGAUGACCUUGACGGGCUUCUUUCUCAAUUUCCUCUUUUGUCGUGGGCCUGAUUGUGUUUUGUGGAAGCCCAGUUAGAAUAUGGGUUUCUCCUUCCCAAUCGAACUUCAAUGUUUGGGCUUUCCAAUCCGUAUGUACGGGCCCAAGACGCUGUAGCCAUUGGAUUCCCAGUACCAAGUCGAGGCCCACUAAAGGAAGAGCGUAGAGAGUUAUUUGGAACUGAGCACCGCCGAUCUUGACUGUGACAGCAUCAAAUUUCCGGCGACAGCGAAGUGGAGUUCCAUUAGCGACACGAACAUCAAACGGUUUGGUUAUCGUCUCUGGUAACUGUAAUUCGGAGGCAAUUUUUUCACUGAUGAAAUUGUGUGUAGAGCCACUAUCCACAAGAGCGUGGAGGUUGUGGUUCUUGACGACGGCGAGGAGGCGCGUUGUGGUGGGAGAAUCCCAUCCGGUGAGGGCGUUGAGGGUGAUCUCGGGCGUGGAAUUGUCUUCCUCAGUGUCUGUUUCAUCAGAAUCUGCAUCUUCGAUUCCUUCCAUGAUGAAUAUUUGGGGGUUAGCGCACUUGUGGCCUGGUGAGUACUUCUCGUCGCAGCUAAAACAGAGGCCUAGACUGCGUUUUCUCCUCAUCUCUUCCCAACUGAGUUUGCGAGGCGUUUGUACGGAUUGUGGUGUUGUGGUUGGUGCGGCGGAGGGUCGGGGGUUUGGCGUUGAGAAGGAUUGGUUCCGCGGAGUGAAACGUUUUUGUUUCUGCAACUGAUCGUCUUUCAUUCUAGCCAAGUUGAUGACCUCCUGUAGUGUCUUUGGCUGGAACAUACGCACAUCAUCAGCUAUGGUGUGAUGGAGUCCCCCGAGGAAAGUACCGACAAGUGCUUCUUCGGACCAGUUUGUUACUUUGUUGCGUAGUCUUUCGAAAGCUCGCUGGUAAUCGCGGAACGUCCCUGUCUGGCGUAUUUUAGAUAGCUCCUCGUGAAAGUUUGUACUACGAGUCGGACCAAACCGAGUCCACAACUCACUUUCAAAUGUUUCCCACGUGAUAAGAAUCUGAUCAACGCCGAGUGCACGUACAGUCGCCUGCCACCAUUCGUUGGCUUCCUCCGUAAGAUGGUAGGAGGCGAAACUUACUCGCUGGUUGCCCGUGAUCUCAUGAUAAGCAAAAUAUUGAGAUGCUUUGGUGAGCCAUUCUGUCGGGUCGCCGUCUCUGAACUUUGGAAGUUCGAGCUUAACACGUCGAUUUUGGUGAGGAGGGGCGAAAGGAUUGACAUUGUCGGGGCGGUUAUGGUGUGGAGGGGCCGUAUCGUGAUUGGGUGGAACUUGUGACGAGCUUGAUCCGGUUUCGCGAGGGCCAAUGAAAAGCUCUCGCAUUUCCUUUAUGGAGUCAGCCAUCGUUUGGUGAAAGGAAUUCUCCAGACCCCGAAUCCUAUCGUUGAUGCCGGUUGUUAGUUUGAGGAGUUCAUCUUGAACCAUUCCCAUGCUUGAUUCGAGAUCCUCAAGUCGUUCGCGGUUGUUGGCCAUGGUCUCGUUCCGUAGAUUUUGAGCCACAGCCUUGCUUUUUUGUGAGUUUUUUGUGGUGCGAGGCGGAAUUGUGAAUGAGUGGGGGUGGAAGUGUUGGAAAAAAAAAAUUUGGUUAUCUUGCUGAACGUUGAUUCCUGGAAAUGCCGUCAACAAGAAAAAGAAAACGAGCUCUGAUACCACUGAUAGGUCCCUUGCCAAGAGAUACCAAUGUUGAUCAUAAGUAACAAGAACACAAGUAAUUUUGGGUAGAUAAGUCUACCUCUUUUUGUCUUUUCAUUUCUUUAAAUAGGAAAGUACAGGAAGCAAAUAACAGAAACAAGAGAUGGAGUCAUUGACUCCUAUAAUGCAGGAAACAUGGGAAAGGUGGAGAACGUUACGUAAGAAGCGUUCCCCUUAUUUAACAACUGAAACAAACUAAAUAAAAGAUAUAUCUUUUUAAAGAUAUUUGCUGUUUGGCUUACGUGGUCGUGUUGAUCUCUUUGGCGCCACUUCAACGUCAACUAGCG